GGAAACUCAGUGUGCAACAAGCCCCUUUCAGAGCCCAAACUAAUCUCAGCAUACUGGGCCUAAGCCCAAAUUCAGUCUCAACAUAUACUGGGCUGAAGCCUUUCAUAAUUCAUAACACUAGGCCAAAGCCUUUUCAAAAUUCAAAUCACUGGGUCGAAGCCUUUACUGUAAGCGGUAUGGCCCAUAGGCCCAUUUCAAUAUCACAUGUAAUAUUAAUGAAUGUAUGUAAGCCCAUUUGGGGAGACUACUCAACCCACCAUCCGCUACUCUCCUCCCGUACCAACCAAGCUCUCCAUGUGAGGAAUAACUCAACCCACCCAACCAAACUCUCCAC
RNAcentral lists this long non-coding RNA (334 nucleotides) under Gossypium barbadense (sea-island cotton). RNAcentral describes it as "long non-coding RNA (GBAR_LNC005487)". Lineage: Eukaryota; Viridiplantae; Streptophyta; Magnoliopsida; Malvales; Malvaceae. The record is from RNAcentral.